This is a non-coding RNA of Cinara cedri, 553 nucleotides long. The record is from the annotation of a GenBank genome assembly. Lineage: Eukaryota; Metazoa; Arthropoda; Insecta; Hemiptera; Aphididae.
AAAAAAUGUCCGCUUAGCAAAGAAGUACAAGAGAAAAACGUAUUUUCUUGUUCGGCAGUUUUACUAAUGGCGUUUGGAAACAAAGAAAUUUCCCUAAAGGGCUUAUGCGUCACGGUCGGUGAAAUCUGUAUUCAUCUUAUACUUUUUUCGUCACCCAAUCUGUUUAUCAAUGCGAAAUGAGUCCGAAAUUGGUAACGUCGCUCAAUGGGGAAGGAAACAAGAAAGAAAGAAACGGGGGUUAGAGGAAUAACGAUUGAAAAGCAACCAUAUCCUAUGGGACAAGGAAGAGCAAAAUUGCAUUUCUGUCCGGUCAAUAAAACUUUACAACUUAUUACUUCCGCAAAAUCUAUCCCAUGUGAAAUCGAAGGGAACAAUCGACAAUGAACUUAAAACACGUAGGCGAAUAAAAAAUCGAGGAUGAAACCAGACCAGAUUUUGGGGGAUGAUUUAAGACAUUAUAUUUCCAAGUGGCUAAAGAAGAGAGAAGUUUUCGGGUUUUUCAAUCCAACUCGUAAGUAGAAUAUGUAGAGGAUGGGCAAGCUGCAGCUUUCUG